AGUCAUAUGAAGCAUCGCCGAUGAAUGACAUUAUUGUCAAAAAGUUGGAGUGGAAGCGUGCUACUGCAUGCAUGCAAAUGAAUUUUUUUAUGACUCUCGACAACGGAUAUCUUGGCUCUUGCAUCGAUGAAGAACGCAGCGAAAUGCGAUAAGUGGUGUGAAUUGCAGAAUCCCGUGAACCAUCGAGUCUUUGAACGCAAGUUGCGCCCGAUGCCAUCAGGCUAAGGGCACGCCUGCCUGGGCGUCGUGU
RNAcentral lists this ribosomal RNA (250 nucleotides) under Cypripedium passerinum. Its description in RNAcentral is "5.8S ribosomal RNA subunit". The stretch from base 92 to 247 matches the Rfam family "5.8S ribosomal RNA". Rfam says of the family: 5.8S ribosomal RNA (5.8S rRNA) is a component of the large subunit of the eukaryotic ribosome. It is transcribed by RNA polymerase I as part of the 45S precursor that also contains 18S and 28S rRNA. RNAcentral also lists the same sequence under 1 other name. Lineage: Eukaryota; Viridiplantae; Streptophyta; Magnoliopsida; Asparagales; Orchidaceae. The record is from RNAcentral.